UACAGUUAAACUAGCAUGAUUAAGUCUGAGGUACUGUGGUUUUAAUCGAUGUUUAAAGAUGGUAGGGAAACACUCAGGUGGGUAUGAGCGUGUGGCAUGCCUGCGACGAUUCAACAUGUUAUUAUAAUGUAAAAUACAGGAAAGUAAGAUGGUAUUCAACUUUAUUUCAGAAUUAGGAGUUUCUUUUGAAACGUUUCUUGGUUCAGAUAAGAAUAAGCGGUAACUAUUUGAAAGGAAAGCUUUGGAUUUGUUUGUAUGCAACCAGACUUGCACGGAUGCAUCUGAGGAUCAGUUGUGGAUUUUUUUUAACGACCAGCAGAGGGGCAGUAACGCGUGUGGAAGUUUAACAAACCAGUAUCAAACCAAGCGAAGAGGCGGAAGCAAAACGCAGAGCGAUGUGAAGUAAUUAUUUUUGGACACAACUAAUUGGCCUUACAUGAUUAUUAAAAGAAUCCAUGUAAAACCCAGGAGCUGAGGGGAGUGCUUCGGAGGCAUCGGUGCUGGGCUUCACAUGUCCCGAUUCAGAAUGCUGCUCCCCGACUCGCCUUCAACCUUCCCAAGUUAUCCCAAGUCACUCCUCUGCUGAGUUCACUCCACUGGCUACCGGUCGCUGCCAGGACCAGGUUCAAAGUCCAGAUCCUCGCCUACCCUGCAGCCAACAGGACGGCCCCCGGCUACUUACAGGACAUGAUUCAAUCCUACACGCCAGCUCGACCACUCCGCUCUGUGGAAACAGGGCCACUUGCACCCCUGCCAUUCGGAUGAAUCUGGGAUAAUUUUUUCACUUAAAUUCCCCUCUUUUAUGCUACACAUGUACCUCCUGUGCCAAUUUCAUGUUACCUGUACCGCCAUCCAGCACUUAUACUGUACUUUGUAUCAUUAUCUUGAUGUUGUAGCUUGUCAUGCCUCCUAGUUUUACUUAGCAGAGGUUAGGUCAGAGUAAUGUUUAAUGUGUGAACUGGACUUAAUGUGUUCAUGGCUAUGAAUAACUGUUACAAAAUGAGUAUUGUGCCUUAUUGGAUCUGUGUUUUGUAGUUGUUCCAAUGACCUUCUUUAUGCACUUAUUGUACGUCACUUUGGAUAAAAACGUCUGCCGAAUAAUGCAAUGUAAUGUCAGGAGUUUGCCUCCCUCUGCUGGACAGAAAAUGGUAUUACAGCAGAGGAAAUCCGAUUUAAAAAAUGUUGCAAUGUACAAGUCGAUUUUUUGUAUGGUUAUUAAAUGUAUGUGGAUUUUAAUGCUGCACACAAGUUGCCCUCUGGGGAUAAUAAAGAUCUACUGAAACCAAAA
Anguilla rostrata (American eel) is the source of this 1288-nucleotide long non-coding RNA. RefSeq lists it as uncharacterized. The record is from RefSeq and is a predicted model, not a curated record. Lineage: Eukaryota; Metazoa; Chordata; Actinopteri; Anguilliformes; Anguillidae. The transcript has 2 exons.